CGUGGCUAGCACUGAAAUCUUAUCCUUAUCAGUGCAAAUAGAUAAAAAUAGAAGCUUCUUUGAAGUGGCGAAUGAGCUUGCUCUUUCCGAAGACAAUAAAAUAAUCAAUUAUUAUGACAACGUUGACUUGAAAUGCACAGGAAUGUUGUUUCGAAAUUGGAUUGAACUAACAAAAGAUGGUCAGGUUAAAAGAGAUUUUAAUGGAGAAGCAAAAAUGGAUGGCCGCAUUUUAGAGUUGCCCCUAAGUGUCAUAACUAAAGCGGGCAACAACACCAACACU
Long non-coding RNA from Ostrinia furnacalis (Asian corn borer), 280 nucleotides. RefSeq lists it as uncharacterized. The record is from RefSeq and is a predicted model, not a curated record. The transcript is spliced from 3 exons. Lineage: Eukaryota; Metazoa; Arthropoda; Insecta; Lepidoptera; Crambidae.